CUGUAACCAUUCUACUACCAUUUCUUCGGGAGAGAUUUGAAGAAGUGGUCGUAUUACCCAAAUCCGUCAUUCUGUAAGUGACAAAGAUGGUGGAAGUGUUGAGGAUCCUAUAGAACAUGAUGAAUUUCACCUUUUGUUCAUACAAAUGAUAUUAUCCAGCCUUUGGAAGACACGCCUAUUGAAGACGAUGUACUAUAUUCUUCUUUUCUUUUCUGAACAACUUGAUCCUCCUGCUGAUCCAGUUAUUACAAAUGAGGUUGGGAUCAAUUUUUUUUAUUUUUC
RNAcentral lists this long non-coding RNA (282 nucleotides) under Glycine max (soybean). RNAcentral's name for it is "long non-coding RNA (GMAX_LNC003965)". The record is from RNAcentral. Lineage: Eukaryota; Viridiplantae; Streptophyta; Magnoliopsida; Fabales; Fabaceae.